AUUGAACGCUGGCGGCAGGCCUAACACAUGCAAGUCGAGCGGAUGAAGGGAGCUUGCUCCUGGAUUCAGCGGCGGACGGGUGAGUAAUGCCUAGGAAUCUGCCUGGUAGUGGGGGAUAACGUCCGGAAACGGGCGCUAAUACCGCAUACGUCCUGAGGGAGAAAGUGGGGGAUCUUCGGACCUCACGCUAUCAGAUGAGCCUAGGUCGGAUUAGCUAGUUGGUGGGGUAAAGGCCUACCAAGGCGACGAUCCGUAACUGGUCUGAGGGGAUGAUCAGUCACAUGGAAACAGAGAAACGGCCAAGACGCCACGGGGGGGAGGGGGGGGGAAUUAUGGAACAAGGGGGGAAGGUUGGACCCAGCAUGGCGGGGGGGGGAAAGAAGUUUUUCGUAUUGUAAAGCAUUUUAGGUGGGGGGGAAGGGCAGAAAGUAAAAACUUUGCUUUUUGGACGUAACCAACAGAAAAAGCACCGGCAAACUUGGG
Molecule: ribosomal RNA, 483 nt
Filed under: uncultured bacterium
Lineage: Bacteria
Description: partial 16S ribosomal RNA
Rfam family: Bacterial small subunit ribosomal RNA
Source: RNAcentral